AUGAAAAUUACCCAAACCUUGAGAUGUUCUCAGAAGAUUCUUGGCCAGUGGGCUGGCGCAUCCUCUGUUGGGAAGUUUUUGCUAUCUAUUUCCUCACGGUGAUAGAUGGUGAAUGAAACAGAUGUUCUGAUAGCAAUUCAGUAUAAGGGUCUAUUUCCACUCACUUCUGGUGCUUUGAUAUUAUUUUUAAAAACCUGUUCCUUUAGCUCUUGUUGAGUUUUUAAAACCUACAAGAUCUUGGCUCCAUGGCCCAUUUCUUCAAUUGCAGAUAUUACUUUUGCAAGGAA
This 287-nucleotide long non-coding RNA is filed under the name Bos taurus (domestic cattle). RNAcentral's name for it is "long non-coding RNA NONBTAT023929". Lineage: Eukaryota; Metazoa; Chordata; Mammalia; Artiodactyla; Bovidae. The record is from RNAcentral.